AACGAACGCUGGCGGCAGGCCUAACACAUGCAAGUCGAGCGGACCUUUCGGGGUCAGCGGCGGACGGGUGAGUAACGCGUGGGAAUAUGCCCUUCUCUACGGAAUAGUCCUGGGAAACUGGGGGUAAUACCGUAUACGCCCUUUGGGGGAAAGAUUUAUCGGGGAAGGAUUAGCCCGUGUUGGAUUAGGUAGUUGGUGGGGGAAUGGCCUACCAAGCCGACGAUCCAUAGCUGGUUUGAGAGGAUGAUCAGCCACACUGGGACUGAGACACGGCCCAGACUCCUACGGGAGGCAGCAGUGGGGAAUCUUAGACAAUGGGGGCAACCCUGAUCUAGCCAUGCCGCGUGAGUGAUGAAGGCCUUAGGGUUGUAAAGCUCUUUCAGCUGGGAAGAUAAUGACGGUACCAGCAGAAGAAGCCCCGGCUAACUCCGUG
RNAcentral lists this ribosomal RNA (433 nucleotides) under uncultured bacterium. RNAcentral describes it as "partial 16S ribosomal RNA". It matches the Rfam family "Bacterial small subunit ribosomal RNA", at positions 29 to 507 of the family's 1533-position model. The record is from RNAcentral.